This 6082-nucleotide long non-coding RNA is filed under the name Nicotiana benthamiana. RNAcentral describes it as "long non-coding RNA (NBEN_LNC015055)". The record is from RNAcentral. Lineage: Eukaryota; Viridiplantae; Streptophyta; Magnoliopsida; Solanales; Solanaceae.
AACGAUUGCUGAGUUUUUAAGCUUCUAACAUUACACAUAACCAGUUAACUUAUAUCCUAUUAUAGCUAAGUAUUUUUUGAAAUGAAAGAUGUACAUCAUAACCAACAAUCCAUGUACAAAAAAUGUCCCAAAUGUUCGGAAUUACGUACACAUCAACAGACUAAUAGACCUCAUGUUCUCAACAAAAUAUAAAACAAAAGAGCAGCGUGAAUUCCUGAAGUACCAUUACUAUAUUAAGACGAACCAGCUAAUCUAAAUACCAUUACCCCCAUUACUAACUUCAGAAAUCCCAAACAAGUAAUUGACAUUGGAAAUUUUAAGAAAAACAGGUAUGCAUUAAUGAAGACUUCAGGCGAUUAUAGCUUCCAUAUUUGUACGUUAUCUCCUAGAGAAUCAGGGAAUACCUGAAAUUUAAAAAUAAGACAUAAAAGAUGAUCAACAAUUGAGCAGUAGCAAAAGCAGUGUUUCAGCAACAAUAUCAGCCAGGAAUGCCUAAAGAAACCACUUUGAACCAAAUUCAGAUCCACAACAGUAGCACCCAAAGCUCAAAAUCAGAAUACACCAAAAUCUGAACCUAAGACCUUGGAUAACAACCAAAACUCAACUGAUUUUAAACCUUACCUGUUCAAGAAUUAUAUUAGAGGGAGGAUCUCAAGAAUUUUAGAGAUUUUCCUUUCAAUAGAACUGUAGACUCCUUAGUUCUAGCCGCCUCAGUUUUCUGAUAUUUUUAACUCUUCAAUUCUUCUGAUUUUCAAAAUUUACAGUCUUUUUUUCUUAUUUUUCUAUCAAUUAGGUCUUCAAAGUCUACCUUCUAAGGCAAGAACUAUUUCCUUUUUAGACCUGUAAUUAAGGCAUCUUUCAGACUUCUAUCUCAUUUUUAGUCCUUCAUUUUAUGACUUGGUGACCAAGUUUUAUCAUGUAAAAUCUGAUGUUCCAAUUGGAACCCCAAUCUAGAAGGUUCUUAGUUAUGCAAAGGUUCUCUAAGAUGAUUACUUAUACUACCCUUGCUUAACCCCAGAAUUACCCCUUUAUGCCAAAACGAAAUUUGGGCCAACUAACCUAGACCAAUGGGUCUGACUAAACCCAGGUUACACUUUCUUGGGCUUCCUGAUUUCACUGCCUAUACGGACUCAUCAGGCUGAGCAAGAAUGAGCCAAAUUGAUAUCGCUUCUUUGAAAAAGAAAACAAAGAGGCAAAGAAGAAUAAAGUAUGAAGAACCUAAUCUUUAAACACACGACCACUCAAACCAAUCACAAAUUUUAAACAAAAUAAAUUAUUGGAAAAGAAAACUAACCCAGAGUACAGAAAAAGCAAAAGAAGAGAGAAAGACAGACCAAGCAAAUCGACACUUCAAACUUAAAGACUAACGAGGAUAUAAUGAUUAGGCAUAUCAAGAUGAUAUAAAUAAAACGAACAUCAUGCAGAAUCAGGAAGGGAAGAACAUGAGUACCGCAAAAAUGCGCACUAACUGGGAAUUUCCCUAAACACCCUGAUUUUGACCUCAAGGGGCCUCGACCAUGUGUUCUCAAAUGAGAAGGCAUUAUCAAGGCACGUUUGGGUCCAAAUCAUAUUCCAUAUUUGGUCCAGAUACUUUAGCGGCUUGGCUUCUAAACAAUAUUUGACCAGUUCUAGGGUUUUUUGAGAGGAACAUGAUACAGAUUGGGGAUGAAAGAGAGUCAGGGGUCGUUUGGUGUUAAUUCGAGAUCGCUUAGCGUCAGCGCCACCAUACACGGUGGAGAAGCCAACGCUUCGAUUGAAUAUUUGACAAGAUUGGCGACGAUUUGAGGGUGUAGAGAAUCACUGGUGUAAUUUUGGUACCAUUUGGGACAAUGCCACAGACGACGACAAUGUUCGGCCUGCGGCGCAUGGCGGAGAGAGGCGGUGUUAGGUUUUCUGAGUGUGCGGUGAGAGACGGGACCUGGAGGGUUUUGAGGGGUGGGGUGGCGUAUUUGGACAUUUAUAUACUAAGUGUAGCGGGCUUUAGGACCGUAGGAUCUAAAACCUAGACAGUCGAGAUUGAACGACCCCAAAACGAGGUCGUUUUGUAUUGGGGGGUGGACCGGGUGUGGGUGGAGCUCUAGACCGGGUCUGGGUGUUUAUUUAGGUUGGUUUGAUAUAAAAAAUGGCCCAAUUUUGGGUCUUCAAAUUCCAGAUUCUUCUUUUCAUUUUCUCAAUCAAUUUUUUUUUUCAAAAAUUAUUAAAUAGCUAAAUUAGGUUAUAAAUCCCAAACAUCCUUUAAAAUGCUUACUAACUUUUGUAAUAAUCAUUUUUAAAAAAUAAAAUUAAAAGAAGAAUUACCUAAAUACAAAAAAUAAAACUAAAGAAGCAAAUUGAACCAAUUUUUGAUAUUCCAUUUAUAAAAUGACCAAUUGCUAAUUAAUGCUCGAAAAAUGCCAAAUCUACUUCUCAAUGCACAUGCGACAUAUUUUGUAUUUUUAAUAAAUGUGUGUUAAAUUAAAAUGCACACAAAAUGCAAACAAUUAGCAGAAAUGUAACAAAAUUUCACAAAAUUACGAAAUAAAAGAAAUGAUUUUGUUUGAAUUUAUAGGAAUAAUUCACGCAGGGCAAAAAUCACAUGCUCACAGCUGCCCCUCUUUGCCCAUAAACACGAAGAGUUUUCGUGCAAAGACAAGUGAGUGGACACGAGCUAUUUUACCCGUUUGAGUACUCCGUGAGAAGCAUUUUGAAAAACUUUAAUGCACUCUGCUUCAGAGAUUGCCUACAUAUCCAUGGCUAAAUAGGAAUUAGCUCAGUGUAGUUCAGGAGUGUUUGGUAGCUUGGACUACCAAAGCUGUGAUCUCAAUGAUGUUGCUGCUACUACUGCUUGCUAGACCCCUUUAUUGCACCAGGUAAAACGAAAAAGAAGCUAGAGUAAGCUAUGAAUUAUGGAAUACAAAACAACCUAUCUAUGUCUUCAAACUUUCUCUUGGUAUUUGUUGCCUUGUUGCUGUGUGUAUCUCUCUGAGAAAUUUCUUGUUGCCUUCUGGUACCCCCUUCCGUGAAACUUCUUGUUGCCCUAUAGAUAAGUUUCUCUCUCUCCAUGUUGAUGCUUGGUUGUUGGAAUUGAAAAGUAUUCCCUUAUUCUCUAGGUAGGCACCUGAUUACCAAAACUUGAAACUUGAAAAACAUUCCCUCGUUCCCCAGGUGGGCGCCUGAUUACCAAAACUUGAAACCUGAAAAGCAUUCCCUUGUUCUCCAGGUGGGCGCCUGAUUACCAAAGCUUGCAACUUGAAAAACAUUCCCUUGUUCUCAAGGUAGGUGCCUGAUUACCAAAGCUUGAAACUUGAAAAAUAUCCCCUUGUUCUCCAAGUGGGCGCCUGAUUACCAAAGCUUGCAAUUUGAAAAGUAUUCUCUUGUCCUCCAGGUAGGCGCCUGAUUACCAAAACUUGAAACUUGAAAAGUAUUCCCUUAUUUUCCAAGUGGGCGCCUGAUUACCAAAACUUGCAACUUGAAAAGUAUUUCUUUGUUAUCCAGGUGGCGCCGGAUUACCAAAACAUGAAAAGUAUUCUCUUAUUCUCUAGGUGGACGCCUGAUUAUCAAAACUUGAAACUUGAAAAAUAUUUCCUUGUUCUCCAGGUGAGCGCCUGAUUACCAAUACUUGAAACUUGAAAAGUAUUCCCUUUUUCUCCAGGUGGGCGCCUGAUUACCAAAACUUGAAAAUUAUUCCCUUGUUCUUCAGGUGGGCGCCUGAUUACCAAAACUUGAAAAGUAUUCCCUUGUUCUCCAGGUGGGCGCAUGAUUAUCAAAACGUGAAACUUGAAAAGUAUUCUCUUGUUCUCCAAGGAGGCGCCUGAUUACCAAAACUUGAAACUUGAAAAGUAUUCCCUUAUUCUCUAGGUGGGCGCCUUAUUAACAAACUUGAAAAAUAUCCCCUUAUUCUCCAGGUGGGAGCCUGAUUACCAAAACUUGCAACUUUAAAAGUAUUCCCUUGUUUUCCAAGUGGACGCAUGAUUACCAAAACUUGAAACUUGAAAAGUAUUCCCUUGUUUUUCAAGUUGGCGCCUGAUUACCAAAACUUGAAACUUGAAAAGUAAUCCCUUGUUUUCCAGGUGGACGCCUGAUUACCAAAACUUGUUCAAAAUUAUUCCCUCGUUCUUCAGGUGGGCGCCUGAUUACCAAAACUUAAAACUUGAAAAGUAUUCCCUUGUUCUCCUGGUGGGCGCUUUAUUACCAAAACUUGAAAUUUGAAAGUAUUCCCUUGUUCUCCAGGUGAGCGCCUGAUUAUCAAAACUUGAAACUUGAAAAGUAUUCCCUUGUUCUCCAGGUGGACGCCUUAUUAUCAAAACUUGAAACUCGAAAAGUAUUCUGUUGUUCUCUAGAUGGGUGCAUGAUUACUAGAACAUGAAACUUGAAAACUAUUCCCUUAUUCUCCAGGUAGGCGCCUGAUUACCAAAACAUGAAACUUGAAAAGUAUUGCCUUGUUCUCUUGGUGGGCGCCUGAUUACCAUACUUGAAACUUGAAAAUAUUCCCUUGUUCUCCAGGUCGCUGCCUGAUUAUCAAAGCUUGCAACUUGAAAAGUAUUCCCUUGUUUUCCAGGUGGGCGCCUGAUUACUGUCAUACCUCUUUUUUUUACAGGGCUACCCCGAAGGAUAAAAAUGUGUAAUGGAGUUUUUCCAAUUAAAGUGACAUUAUUCGAAUUGGGAUUAUUUAUUUAUUAAGAGUCGCCACUUGGGAUAGGUUUGGCUUUUGGUGUCCCAAGUCUUCGAUUUUUUUUAAAAUCCCAAAUUGAGGAAAAUUGCGACUGCCCAAUUGGAGUCUACGAACCAGAAAUUUUAAGCAAGGAAUUCUGUUGACCCGAGGGAAUGUGUUAGGCACCCCCGUACCCCGUGAUUCUAGCACGGUCGCUUAAACUAUUAUAAUUGGCUAAAAAUUCUGAUUUUUAUACAUAUUUUAGCAUAUGGGGCAUUUUAAACUUUAUAUCCGUUUUUCAUUAUUUUUAAGAAAAAUUCAACGUCAUCUAAAACACAUCUUGAACCACGUCACAUAAAUACGCCCGCGGUCCUCGACAUAUUUUAUCUAACAUUGUUGAGAUUUGGAUUUGGAUCACAUAAAUGUACACCCAAGUUUAAAAUUAUAUACCGUGAUCAUGUCACAGAAAUCGUACCAAUAACCACGAUAAUUUAUUAUUAGUCACGCCUAAACCAAACUACAAAGCAAUUACUUACGGAACUAUAUUUGGUUUUGAAGUUAUGAGUCAUUUACCCAUUGUGGAAGCAUGGAGCAGUUUUUGUAUGUAAAUACUAGAGUUAUUGGGCCGGCAAACUAUCCUUAUUGGGCAAGCGUCUUAUUUCCCACUUCAAGAUUUUACAACAGCCCAACAACAAAAAUCUGGCAACUUUAAUGAAUUUAGCCUAGCGUGCUACAGCCCACUUAUUCCCAUAUCUAUUACUUUCUUUCUUUCUCACUUAACCUAGCAAACAACAUAAAAUUUAUUUCCUUAGUUGCCGAUAGAAUUGAUAUGAAUCAAUCAAACAAAAUCACAUAAUAAGACAUUUAAGCAGAAACUAAAGACAACAUAGACAUUCAUGUAAGGCAAACAAUGGAUUCAAGGAAAUGAAUAAAAAGAGAUUAAAGGAAAUGAACCUUUGAUAUGGAAAUUCUGUCAAUAUAUUGAGAAGAUAAACUUCUUCAUGAAAUGGAUACACCUCAAUAAUCGUUCUUCAAGAACAAAACGAGACCAAGCAACACCAAACAAAUCGAAAGAAAAUCUGAACAUAAACUCGAACUAGCGACCUCGACCGGUGUGUUUGUAUCUCCUUUUGGGUUGAGAGCAAGAAGAAGAUGAAACCAUCAAAAGAGAGAUCAAGGCUUGGCCGCUGUUGCCUCUCUUGACUGAGAGAAUGAAAAAAAAUGGAAAAGUCAAGGCUGUCGUUAGCUUCUUUCUUAGAGGUGUAGCGACCAGUUUUCUCCAAAUUGGCGUUUUCCCUCCUACCUAGCUUUUCUUUUUUCCAGAUCUCUCAUUCUCUUUUAUUUUGUUCCGCUUCUGUGUGUGUUUUUUGUGAAGAAGAUGACAAUGGUUUUGAAAAAUGAAGGAGCAAAAGAGACGUUUGAGGGGGGUAUCAAGGUCUCAGUAGCUUUUUG